UACGGAAGGCAGCAGUGGGGAAUAUUGCACAAUGGGCGCAAGCCUGAUGCAGCCAUGCCGCGUGUAUGAAGAAGGCCUUCGGGUUGUAAAGUACUUUCAGUCGUGAGGAAGGUGUUAAGGUUAAUAACCUUAGCAAUUGACGUUAGCGACAGAAGAAGCACCGGCUAACUCCGUGCCAGCAGCCGCGGUAAUACGGAGGGUGCGAGCGUUAAUCGGAAUUACUGGGCGUAAAGGGCACGCAGGCGGUUAAUUAAGUUGGAUGUGAAAUCCCCGGGCUUAACCUGGGAAUGGCAUUCAAGACUGGUUAGCUAGAGUCUUGUAGAGGGGGUAGAAUUCCAUGUGUAGCGGUGAAAUGCGUAGAGAUGUGGAGGAAUACCGGUGGCGAAGGCGGCCCCUGGGACAAAGACUGACGCUCAUGUGCGAAGCGUGGGGAGCAAACGAGGAUUAGAUACC
RNAcentral lists this ribosomal RNA (453 nucleotides) under uncultured bacterium. Its description in RNAcentral is "bacterial SSU rRNA". It matches the Rfam family "Bacterial small subunit ribosomal RNA", at positions 340 to 786 of the family's 1533-position model. The record is from RNAcentral.